UACGUAGGGACCGAGCGUUGUCCGGAUUCAUUGGGCGUAAAGAGCUCGUAGGCGGCCACUCAAGUCGAAUGUGAAACCUCGAGGCUUAACCUCGAGCCUGCAUUCGAUACUGGGCGGCUAGAGUCUGGUAGGGGGAUCUGGAAUUCCUGGUGUAGCGGUGGAAUGCGCAGAUAUCAGGAGGAACACCGGUGGCGAAGGCGGGAUCCUGGGCCAGUACUGACGCUGAGGAGCGAAAGCGUGGGGAGCAAACAGGAUUAGAUACCCUGGUAGUCCACGCCGUAAACGAUGGGCGCUAGGUGUGGGAGGUCAUCGACUCCUUCCGUGCCGCAGCUAACGCAUUAAGCGCCCCGCCUGGGGAGUACGGCCGCAAGGCUAAA
This 377-nucleotide ribosomal RNA is filed under the name uncultured bacterium. RNAcentral's name for it is "bacterial SSU rRNA". It matches the Rfam family "Bacterial small subunit ribosomal RNA", at positions 524 to 898 of the family's 1533-position model. The record is from RNAcentral.